This 783-nucleotide ribosomal RNA is filed under the name Triticum aestivum (bread wheat). Its description in RNAcentral is "partial small subunit ribosomal RNA". Lineage: Eukaryota; Viridiplantae; Streptophyta; Magnoliopsida; Poales; Poaceae. The record is from RNAcentral.
AUGAAGACGAAGCAGGCUUCCAAGGCCAAGGCGGCGCCGUCGCCGGGGAAGGAGGAGGAAGCAGUUGCAUCGGGUGGUUUCCGCAAGGGGCCAUGGACGGAGCAGGAGGACAUGAAGCUGGCGUGGUUCGUGCGGCUCUUCGGCGAGCGCCGCUGGGAUUUCUUAGCUAAGGUGUCAGGUCUUAACCGGACGGGGAAGAGCUGCCGGCUCCGGUGGGUCAACUACCUGCACCCGGACCUCAAGCGCGGCCGGAUGAGCCCCGAAGAGGAGCGCCUCGUCGUCGACCUCCACGCCCGCUGGGGCAACCGCUGGUCACGCAUCGCCAAGGCCAUGCCGGGGCGCACCGACAACGAGAUCAAGAACUACUGGCGCACCCACACCCGCAAGCUCCACAAGGACACGCGCGCCUCUGCUGCUUCGGCCUCUACGACCACGUCCACGUCCAUGUCGGCGGCGUCUCCGGCCACCACGUCCAGCUCCUCCUCUUCAACGAUCGACAACGACAACAACUCGCAUCACGGCCACCGCGACCAAGAGACGGCGGCCAGCCAGGAACAAGCGGAUAACCAGCUGCUCUACACCGCCGGCAUCGGCAUGGACAGCCACCUCCUUUGGAACGACGCCAUCAUGGACUCCUACGCAUGGGGAGCCGCCGUGCCGUCGAUGAUAGUGCCGCCGCCUUCAUCGCCGGUGUGGGACUACUGCUGCUCGGAUUCGCUCUGGGGGAUAGGCGACGACGAGGUCGAGUACAAGAAGAUGCUCGCCGUCGCCGGUGCCUCAUGA